RNAcentral lists this ribosomal RNA (493 nucleotides) under uncultured bacterium. Its description in RNAcentral is "partial 16S ribosomal RNA". It matches the Rfam family "Bacterial small subunit ribosomal RNA", at positions 28 to 523 of the family's 1533-position model. The record is from RNAcentral.
GAUGAACGCUGGCGGCGUGCCUAACACAUGCAAGUCGAACGAAGCACCUUUUAAGAUUCUUCGGAUGAUUGAUUGGUGACUGAGUGGCGGACGGGUGAGUAACGCGUGGGUAACCUGCCCUGUACAGGGGGAUAACAGUUGGAAACGGCUGCUAAUACCGCAUAAGCGCACGAGAGGACAUCCUCUUGUGUGAAAAACUCCGGUGGUACAGGAUGGGCCCGCGUCUGAUUAGCUGGUUGGUAGGGUAACGGCCUACCGAGGCGACGAUCAGUAGCCGGUCUGAGAGGAUGAACGGCCACAUUGGAACUGAGACACGGUCCAAACUCCUACGGGAGGCAGCAGUGGGGAAUAUUGCACAAUGGGGGAAACCCUGAUGCAGCAACGCCGCGUGAGUGAAGAAGUAUUUCGGUAUGUAAAGCUCUAUCAGCAGGGAAGACAAUGACGGUACCUGACUAAGAAGCUCCGGCUAAAUACGUGCCAGCCGCCGCAGUAA